RNAcentral lists this unclassified non-coding RNA (678 nucleotides) under Centruroides sculpturatus (bark scorpion). Its description in RNAcentral is "uncharacterized LOC111627495, transcript variant X1". Lineage: Eukaryota; Metazoa; Arthropoda; Arachnida; Scorpiones; Buthidae. The record is from RNAcentral.
AUCAAAAUGUUAUUUCCCUCAAAAACGUAUGAUUCGACACUAUUAGUAGAGUUAUGUAACACCACUAACCUAUUGUUAUUAUUAGUAGUAUUAUUGGACUUCGAAUCGAGUUGUACCUCAUUCGCGUUGUAACUGCCGCUACGCGUAGGCCUUGCCACAUCGAAAGUAUAAAACAGAACAACUUUACAGUAAAUUAUCCAACUUUAUCAGCAGAAUACAAUCGAAUAUUUACAUGGCUCUUUACCUAGUUCUUCUGACAAGCGUUAUUAUCGGAUCUUUGAUAGGAAGAGGAUCAGCAGAUAGGAAUAUAAUCGUACGCCCAAUUGCAUCUUCAGCUUGUCAGACGGGAUCCACUAGAGCAGAAAAGUAUACAGCCUGUACCGAAGAUUGUAAAAAGGCACCACAUUCCGGCGAAGUUAAAUAUGGUUUCUGUAAUUUUAAAACAUGUGUUUGCGUUUUCAUUGAGUUUACUUCAUAAGUAUAACUGUAAUUCGAAAUGAAACAGGUUGGCCAUGUGGAUUCUUCAUUAUUUCACGAGUCUAACACCUAAAUAAGAUCAAUUUCCCAUAGAAUGUCUUUCUCUUUGCAAUUCUUCCACACGUUACGUUACCUUAAUCCACGUUUAUUAUUUGAAUAUGUAAAGAUAGCUGUAACUGAAUAAAUUCAUUUCUGUCCAGA